Molecule: ribosomal RNA, 1321 nt
Filed under: Papilio protenor
Lineage: Eukaryota; Metazoa; Arthropoda; Insecta; Lepidoptera; Papilionidae
Description: 16S ribosomal RNA
Source: RNAcentral
GGGGGAAAAAUUAAUAAUAAAUUAUAAAAAAAAAAUUUUUAAAAAUAUAUUUUAAUGGGGGUUAAAGUAUAUAUAUAGAAAAAAUUUUAAAAUUUAUAGUGAAAUAGUAUUAUAAAAGAAUUUGGAAAUAGGGGAAAAUAAUUUAUGAAAAAGUAAAUUUAAUUUUAUUGUAUCUUGGGUAUCAGAGUUUAUUAAUAAUAAUUAUAAAAUAAUAAUUUCUCGAAUUUAAAAGAGUUAAUUAAUUAUAAAAGUUAAUGUGGAAUAAUUAUUUUUAAUAAUUAAUUAGAAAUGAAAUGUUAAUCGUUUUUAAAAAUAUCUAGUUUUUUUAGAAAAAAAUUUAAUUUUAAAUAUUAUAUUUAAAAUUUUUAUUUAUGAAAAUUUUAUUGGUUAAUAUUAAAUAUUUUAAGGGAUAAGCUUUAAAAUAAAUUUUUAUAAUAAAUUGUUUAAUUAUGUUAAAAUUAUAAAAUUUAAAUUGUUUUAAAAAUUAUAAUUUUUUAUAAAUAAUUUAAUUUAAAUUAAAAUUUAAGAAAAAAUUUAAAUUUUUAUAAAAAAAUAUAUUUUAAUAGAAUAAAAUUAGAUAUAAUGAUAAAAUUAGUAUAUAAUUUUUUUUUAAAAAAAAAAAUAUUAAAAGUUAAUUAAAGGAAUUCGGCAAAAUUUUAUAUUCACUUGUUUAUCAAAAACAUGUCUUUUUGGGAAUAAUUUAAAGUCUAAUCUGCCCACUGAUAAAUUAUUAAAGGGCUGCAGUAUUUUGACUGUACAAAGGUAGCAUAAUCAAUAGUCUCUUAAUUGGUGACUUGUAUGAAAGAUUGGAUGAGAUAUAUACUGUCUCUAAUUAAUUUGUAGAAGUUAAUUUUUUAGUAAAAAAGCUAAAAUAAUUUUAAAAGACGAGAAGACCCUAUAGAGUUUAAUAAUUUAUUUAAUUAUUAAUAAUAUAUAAUUUUUAAAAUUAAAAUUAAAUAAAUUAUUUUGUUGGGGUGAUAGAAAAAUUAAAUUAACUUUUUUUAAUUAUUAACAUUAAUUUAUGAUUAAAUGAUCCAUUUAUAAUGAUUAAAAGAAAAAAUUACCUUAGGGAUAACAGCGUAAUUUUUUUUUUUAGUUCAAAUAGGAAAAAAAGUUUGCGACCUCGAUGUUGGAUUAAGAUAAAAUUUAAAUGCAAAAGUUUAAAAUUUUGAUCUGUUCGAUCAUUAAAAUCUUACAUGAUCUGAGUUCAAACCGGUGUAAGCCAGGUUGGUUUCUAUCUUUAAAUAAUUAUAAUAUUUUAGUACGAAAGGAUCAAAUAUUAAAAAUAAUUUUAAUUAAAUGAAUAUUAUUAAUAAUUAAU